RNAcentral lists this ribosomal RNA (485 nucleotides) under uncultured bacterium. RNAcentral describes it as "partial 16S ribosomal RNA". It matches the Rfam family "Bacterial small subunit ribosomal RNA", at positions 30 to 507 of the family's 1533-position model. The record is from RNAcentral.
AUUGAACGCUGGCGGCAGGCUUAACACAUGCAAGUCGAGCGGGGAGAUGUAGCUUGCUACAUAUCCUAGCGGCGGACGGGUGAGUAAUGCUUAGGAAUCUGCCUAUUAGUGGGGGACAACAUUCCGAAAGGAAUGCUAAUACCGCAUACGCCCUACGGGGGAAAGCAGGGGAUCUUCGGACCUUGCGCUAAUAGAUGAGCCUAAGUCGGAUUAGCUAGUUGGUGGGGUAAAGGCCUACCAAGGCGACGAUCUGUAGCGGGUCUGAGAGGAUGAUCCGCCACACUGGGACUGAGACACGGCCCAGACUCCUACGGGAGGCAGCAGUGGGGAAUAUUGGACAAUGGGCGCAAGCCUGAUCCAGCCAUGCCGCGUGUGUGAAGAAGGCCUUUUGGUUGUAAAGCACUUUAAGCGAGGAGGAGGCUCCUUUAGUUAAUACCUAAAGAGAGCGGACGUUACUCGCAGAAUAAGCACCGGCUAACUCUGUG